UGGGGAAUUUUGGACAAUGGGCGAAAGCCUGAUCCAGCAAUGCCGCGUGAGUGAAGAAGGCCUUCGGGUUGUAAAGCUCUUUUGUCAGGGAAGAAACGGUGAAAGCUAAUAUCUUUUGCUAAUGACGGUACCUGAAGAAUAAGCACCGGCUAACUACGUGCCAGCAGCCGCGGUAAUACGUAGGGUGCAAGCGUUAAUCGGAAUUACUGGGCGUAAAGCGUGCGCAGGCGGUUUUGUAAGUCUGAUGUGAAAUCCCCGGGCUCAACCUGGGAAUUGCAUUGGAGACUGCAAGGCUAGAAUCUGGCAGAGGGGGGUAGAAUUCCACGUGUAGCAGUGAAAUGCGUAGAUAUGUGGAGGAACACCGAUGGCGAAGGCAGCCCCCCUGGGUCAAGAUUGACGCUCAUGCACGAAAGCGUGGGGAGCAAACAGGAUUAGAUACCCUGGUAGCCCACGCCCUAAGCGAUGUCUACUAGUUGUCGGGUCUUAAUUGACUUGGUAACGCGGCUAACGCGUGAAGUAGACCGUCUGGGGAGUACGGUCGCAAGAUU
RNAcentral lists this ribosomal RNA (548 nucleotides) under uncultured bacterium. RNAcentral describes it as "partial 16S ribosomal RNA". It matches the Rfam family "Bacterial small subunit ribosomal RNA", at positions 355 to 895 of the family's 1533-position model. The record is from RNAcentral.